Molecule: non-coding RNA, 45 nt
Filed under: Echinostoma caproni
Lineage: Eukaryota; Metazoa; Platyhelminthes; Trematoda; Plagiorchiida; Echinostomatidae
Source: RNAcentral
GCACUGCUGACGAGUCCCAAAUAGGACGAAACAGCUGUUCAGUAC